GAUGAACGCUAGCGGCAGGCUUAACACAUGCAAGUCGAGGGGUAUAGGUUUUCGGACCUAGAGACCGGCGCACGGGUGCGUAACGCGUAUGCAAUCUACCUUGUACAGGGGGAUAGCCCAGAGAAAUUUGGAUUAAUACCCCAUAGUAUUAUAGAAUGGCAUCAUGUUAUAAUUAAAGUUCCAACGGUAAAAGAUGAGCAUGCGUCCCAUUAGCUAGUUGGAAUGGUAACGGCACACCAAGGCUACGAUGGGUAGGGGUCCUGAGAGGGAGAUCCCCCACACUGGUACUGAGACACGGACCAGACUCCUACGGGAGGCAGCAGUGAGGAAUAUUGGUCAAUGGACGCAAGUCUGAACCAGCCAUGCCGCGUGCAGGAUGACGGUCCUAUUGAUUGUAAACUGCUUUUGUACAGGAAGAAACACUCCUACGUGUAGGAACUUGACGGUACUGUAAGAAUAAGGAUCGGCUAACUCCGUGCCAGCCGCCGCGGUAA
RNAcentral lists this ribosomal RNA (494 nucleotides) under uncultured bacterium. RNAcentral describes it as "partial 16S ribosomal RNA". It matches the Rfam family "Bacterial small subunit ribosomal RNA", at positions 28 to 523 of the family's 1533-position model. The record is from RNAcentral.